UAAUUUUAUUUGGUAAUUCUAUUUCCAAAUUGAAGAUGAUUUAUUAUUUCUUAUUUCUUUAAUCAGGUGAUCAAGAAACAUAGUCCAGUAUUACCAUACACAUAUUUAUGGAAAUCUUUUCAAAUCUAGUUGUUUCUUCUACCUUCCAGAGAAUCAGAUUCAAAAGGAGGCAAAGAAAUCAAUUGCUGGGUUCAACAGAAGAAUCAGAUGGACUGCCAGGCCUGUGUUUCCCCGUUACCUGACCUAUCAUUGGUCUGUGAGCAGUUACAGAUUGUUUUAUUUUUUGAGCCACACCACAAGAAAGGCAGGCCCUGGCAGCGUGGAAGACUUAUUUCAGGGGGAUGAGCAUGGAUACCGAGUUGCUGCCAAAGCCCAGAUGAGUGUGGACAAGUGGGCAACGGGGAGGAAAGGUGGUGUUUUAUUAAAGAUUUAGAGGAGAACGAGGGUUGUAUAUCUGUAGAUAAAACAGAGAGAUGGCUAGACUCAGGGCCAAAAUCAUCAACAGAUCAAAAUAAUGGGCUAUCGCUAAAAAAAGACUUAGUAACGAUAAACGAACCCCUCUUUUUAAGUCCAGCUGCACGGGCACAGAAGACAACAAGACAACCCAGCCAAGCUUCAGGAGCUGCACAGAAGGAGGGUGCACAGACAGUGAGCUCUCGACAUACGAUCAGCGUGAUGAGGCAGUGAAAGUCCUAACAGUAUCACAGGUGGUAUCAACAGAUGUCCAGCUCGCUGAGUAAGCGGAAGAGCCUUCUCUGCUUGGGGGUCCUCGGAUCACAUUGCCUGAACUAGGUAUUUCACUAGGAUGAUAAAUUAGAACACACUCGAAAGAGAGCAGCCUAGGACCUGCCAAAAUUCUAGGCUAUAAUACAGGAGAUCAUUGGAAAGAAGGUACAUUUUCCUUUGGAGAAAACAGGGCAAGAUCUGGAGAAACAAGGUAACUGUAUUAAAGGUUAACAUGUGGAGGCAUUUCUACUUUUAGUGUAGUGCUGGAAGGCAGAAUGAGGCUGGGUGACUGGAAGCUACCAGAAGGUAACAAGCUGUGCCUUCCGUCAUUGAAGAUGGCCAUGCAGAAACACGGACCUGGGAUGACAGUGCUGAAUGAACGUGUUGUGUCCAGGUUGGAUUCUUAGGUCUUUAGAGUCUCUACUGAUCCCACAACUGAUUCCACAACCGGAUGAGAACCUAAGGGCAGUUAGAUGCCCAGGGAGAAACACUCUGGCAGAAAGAAAAAAGGCCUGAGAGAGCUUCAGAAGGCCCUCCCAUCCCCCCUCCCCCGCCCGUAUUUACACUUCACAGAGCUCUGUUUUUUGCCAGCAGCUCUACAGUUGUACUGUUUUACUCGUUCAGCUGAUGCCCCCCAGAGGUUUUAGACGUAAAGCUAAAAUACACCAACAAUGGAAGCUUCCCUCAGUGGUCCGGUUACCACAGGCAGGUGCUCAGGAUUGCUAUACCUGCAGCUCCCAGACUUCCUGCACUCUCCCCCACGGGCAACUUCAGGGAACUCUAGAAGAUGAGAAAUUCUAGGGAAGAUGGGGACUGAAAAUGAAGAAGAUAAAUGACACCAGAUCAAUGACACCAUUUACUUUGAAUGGAACACCACGGCUCUGUAACUUCAGAGAGAUCUAAACGUUUGUGAGAGAAGAGCAGUAUUGAAGAAUAGUAAAGCAAUUCAGUUUAUUACUUUAUGGGCAUUUUAAGGAGAGUGAUUGUCUUAAGUCUUCAGGUCAAUGAAGAAGUGACCCAGCCCAGAGCAAAGGGUUCAACAUUCAUUACAGAAUUUCUUGAGACUUGUCCCAAUCCCAUCUUUUGUGGCUUUGCUACUCUUUCCAAUUCUUUAUCCUAAAAUGCCCUACCGUAAUUAAAACUGACAUCAAUUAAGAAAUUUUAAGAGGUUUAAUAUCCUGUUUUUACUUUAAAAGUUAAUUUAAAAGUUUCUCUUAAAAAGUAAUUGAAAUGUGUUACAUAAUCCUGGGGGAAAACUCUGAUUUUCUGAGGGUCAGGGUA
This 2007-nucleotide long non-coding RNA is filed under the name Mustela putorius furo (domestic ferret). RNAcentral describes it as "lncRNA (ENSMPUG00000026252.1)". Lineage: Eukaryota; Metazoa; Chordata; Mammalia; Carnivora; Mustelidae. The record is from RNAcentral.